RNAcentral lists this transfer RNA (71 nucleotides) under Pangasianodon hypophthalmus (striped catfish). RNAcentral's name for it is "tRNA-Glu". The record is from RNAcentral. Lineage: Eukaryota; Metazoa; Chordata; Actinopteri; Siluriformes; Pangasiidae.
UGCCUGGAAGACUAGUGGGAAGGCCUCAGUGCUCUCACCCCGUGGCCCGGGUUCGAAUCCUGGCCAGGGAA